UACCAGCACCCCGAGUGGUCGGGACGAUUAUUGGGCCUAAAGCAUCCGUAGCCGGUCCUACAAGUCUUCCGUUAAAUCCACCUGCUUAACAGAUGGGCUGCGGAAGAUACUAUAGGGCUAGGAGGCGGGAGAGGCAAGCGGUACUCAGUGGGUAGGGGUAAAUCCUCUGAUCCAUUGAAGACCACCAGUGGCGAAGGCGGCUUGCCAGAACGCGCUCGACGGUGAGGGAUGAAAGCUGGGGGAGCAAACCGG
RNAcentral lists this ribosomal RNA (252 nucleotides) under uncultured bacterium. Its description in RNAcentral is "partial 16S ribosomal RNA". It matches the Rfam family "Archaeal small subunit ribosomal RNA", at positions 474 to 727 of the family's 1478-position model. The record is from RNAcentral.